This 330-nucleotide unclassified non-coding RNA is filed under the name soil metagenome. RNAcentral describes it as "partial contains 5.8S ribosomal RNA, internal transcribed spacer 2, and large subunit ribosomal RNA". The stretch from base 5 to 119 matches the Rfam family "5.8S ribosomal RNA", at positions 40 to 154 of the family's 154-position model. The record is from RNAcentral.
GAUGAGAACGCAGCGAAAUGCGAUAAGUAAUGUGAAUUGCAGAAUUCAGUGAAUCAUCGAAUCUUUGAACGCACAUUGCGCCCCCUGGUAUUACGGGGGGCAUGCCUGUUCGAGCGUCAUUUCACCACUCAAGCCUCGCUUGGUAUUGGGCAACGCGGUCCGCCGCGUGCCUCAAAUCGACCGGCUGGGUCUUCUGUCCCCUAAGCGUUGUGGAAACUAUUCGCUAAAGGGUGUUCGGGAGGCUACGCCGUAAAACAACCCCAUUUCUAAGGUUGACCUCAAAUCAGGUAGGACUACCCGCUGAACUUAAGCAUAUCAAUAAGCGGAGGA